UGGAGAGUUUGAUCCUGGCUCAGGACGAACGCUGGCGGCGUGCCUAAUACAUGCAAGUCGAACGCUUCUUUCCUCCCGAGUGCUUGCACUCAAUUGGAAAGAGGAGUGGCGGACGGGUGAGUAACACGUGGGUAACCUACCCAUCAGAGGGGGAUAACACUUGGAAACAGGUGCUAAUACCGCAUAACAGUUUAUGCCGCAUGGCAUAAGAGUGAAAGGCGCUUUCGGGUGUCGCUGAUGGAUGGACCCGCGGUGCAUUAGCUAGUUGGUGAGGUAACGGCUCACCAAGGCCACGAUGCAUAGCCGACCUGAGAGGGUGAUCGGCCACACUGGGACUGAGACACGGCCCAGACUCCUACGGGAGGCAGCAGUAGGGAAUCUUCGGCAAUGGACGAAAGUCUGACCGAGCAACGCCGCGUGAGUGAAGAAGGUUUUCGGAUCGUAAAACUCUGUUGUUAGAGAAGAACAAGGACGUUAGUAACUGAACGUCCCCUGACGGUAUCUAACCAGAAAGCCACGGCUAACUACGUGCCAGCAGCCGCGGUA
This 546-nucleotide ribosomal RNA is filed under the name Enterococcus faecalis. Its description in RNAcentral is "bacterial SSU rRNA". It matches the Rfam family "Bacterial small subunit ribosomal RNA", at positions 1 to 522 of the family's 1533-position model. The record is from RNAcentral. Lineage: Bacteria; Bacillati; Bacillota; Bacilli; Lactobacillales; Enterococcaceae.